Oryza meridionalis is the source of this 204-nucleotide non-coding RNA. Lineage: Eukaryota; Viridiplantae; Streptophyta; Magnoliopsida; Poales; Poaceae. The record is from Rfam.
UUUAAGUGCAACUAUAAGUUUCUGCGCAAAACUUUGACCGUCCGUCUUAUUUAAAUUUUUUUUAUAAUUAGUAUUUUUAUUGUUAUGAGAUGAUAAAACAUGAAUAAUACUUUAUACGUGAUUUAUGUUUUUAAUUUUUUUCAACUUUUUUUAAAUAAGACGAACGAUCAAAGUUGGGUACGAAAAUUUAUGGUUGCGCUUAAA